Molecule: non-coding RNA, 465 nt
Organism: Camelina sativa (false flax)
Lineage: Eukaryota; Viridiplantae; Streptophyta; Magnoliopsida; Brassicales; Brassicaceae
Source: RefSeq, a predicted model, not a curated record
CUUCUCCAUUUUCUGUGAUCAUCGUAUACUCUAAUCUCUGUGGUCUAAUUGGUUUCUAUAACAACUUAAAAGUGGGGACCUGAAGUUUCUCAACAACAGAACAACAAGUGUCUGUCACUGGUUAAGCUGUUCUUUUCUCAUAUCCACAAAUAGGAUCAUCAUACAUGACAGUUAUCCGUAAAUGAAGAUAUUGUGUUAGGUUGGUGGUGAAGUUGCUGUCGCAGACAAAUUUUUCGAAAAUUAAGACAGGAAGACAAAGGCAUGAGCUAGGAGAAGAAAUAUUCUAUUCUUAGAGCUUCAUUAAAAAGAAAAGUAGAAAUGGCGUUGAAGAGAGGGAGCACAAGAGCUAGAAGAGAAACAAAGUCAAUCACAAGAAGCAGGCAAGAAAGACAGGAGGACAUGUCAUUUGGGUUAUACAAAAGAUGUGAAAGCCAAGAGAUGAAGAAGAAAAAAAAAAAAAAAAAA